Centropristis striata (black sea bass) is the source of this 1422-nucleotide long non-coding RNA. RefSeq lists it as uncharacterized. The transcript has 4 exons. Lineage: Eukaryota; Metazoa; Chordata; Actinopteri; Perciformes; Serranidae. The record is from RefSeq and is a predicted model, not a curated record.
AACAAAUGAGAUUCUUGAAAACAAAUUUCUUAGAUUUCUUCUUUAAUUUCUUCACAACUUUAAGAGAAGCCCUCACCAGUCUUAAAUCAGCUUCAGUGAAAAGUGAACUCCCCCAAUACUCAUCCUGCCUAUCUGGUUUGGAUGGUAAUGAGGAGCAGGAUGUGGGUCAGGAGUUCAAACAGCCUGUUGUGUGUUGACCUGCAAGCUGCCAAGGUCACUCAUCACGGAGCCGAGGUUUGGCUCUGACUCUAAACACAGCCAGCUCUCAACCUGAAGCCUGCCUUUUCCUCUGAUCUGCUGACUCACUCUGCACAUAGCGGGCCGAGGAAUACCAGGAAGAGCUCUCUGGGAUAAAGCGGGAGCUUCGCAGUGAAUUUGGUACCCAGGCUUCGUCUCAGUCGUGCCAUCCUUGCGGGUACCUUCGGUGCCAUAGUUUCAUUGGGAUUAACCACAUGGUGCUGCCUAGCUUGGAUGCAUUCCCAGCAAUGAACUGAUGCUGGGCUAGCUGGAUGAACAGAAGGUCAGGACAUGCCACAACAUUGUGUAAUGCUGGUGAGAGCACCCAGGCGGUGCCAAGCGGCGCCAGUAUCAGCCCAGGAUCUGAUUUAGGUGACAGCCUUGUGGUGAUUUUUAUUACUUUUUAUUCAUCACGGUAUCACACAGUGAGUCUGCACUGUGUAAAUAUUUAAUGGAUCUACCAUACCUAAUGGUAGAUGUGAGAUUUCACAAAGUACAUGCUGCAAUGUGACAUUAACAUGUAAACGAGACGAUAAGGAAACAGAGUCUUGGAUUAUUUCUUGAAGAAAGUGGUGACAGAAAUUUAUCUCUUGCUUCCUCUAUUUACAUUGCUGCUGUAUGAGUCAUCAUGUUACAUGUUUGUGCCUGUCCUUAUACUUUUAAACCCUCUUCUUCCCUCUUUCACAUCCUGCGAUUUGAAGCCUGUAGUCUGACUGUAAAACAAUAGAGCCUCUCUGCCUUAAUUAAACACUGAAAGAUUAAUUUACAUGUCAGCACUGUUUGCCAGUCUGAUGUGUCGUUCACAGGAAGCUGACAUCAUUAUCUGUCUGACUCCUGGAGCCUCCUGCUCAUCUACACGAAAAUGCAAUUUAAGAUGAAUUUAACAGUUUUUGUGAACAUGAUUAUGAACGUGGAAAAAGUAAUAUCCUCAUUAACCAUGCAACAUUAGUCUGUAUCUUUUUUAAAUAACCCUGCAUUCAAUUGUAGUUAUAUGCAGAACCAUUGUAUGUGCGGUGGGCCACCUCCUCUAGGGGCCUCGAGCCUUGCCUGAAAUCCUGCAGGAUUCUUUUCAUAAUCUAAUAUGUGCAUAUAACAGACUGACUGGUUAUUAAAAAUGAUUCUAAAAAUGAAAUUACUGCCCUAUAUACUGUUUGAAAAUAGUUCUUAAUUCAUAAAAAUCCCUGC